UCUUGCGCAAUGCGCGAAAGCGUGACGCAGCAACACCGCGUGAGGGAAGACGGCCUUAGGGUUGUAAACCUCUUUCAGAUGGGACGAAGGUUCGACGGUGAAUAGCCGAUCGGAUUGACGGUACCGUCAGAAGAAGCUCCGGCUAACUACGUGCCAGCAGCCGCGGUAAUACGUAGGGAGCGAGCGUUGUCCGGAAUCAUUGGGCGUAAAGAGCACGUAGGUGGAUUGAUCAGUCUGUCGUGAAAGUCAACGGCUCAACCGUUGAAUGCCGGUGGAUACUGUUGAUCUAGAGUACGGAAGAGGCGAGUGGAAUUCCUGGUGUAGCGGUGGAAUGCGCAGAUAUCAGGAGGAACACCAAUAGCGAAGGCAGCUCGCUGGGACGUUACUGACACUGAGGUGCGAAAGCGUGGGGAGCAAACAGG
This 422-nucleotide ribosomal RNA is filed under the name uncultured bacterium. Its description in RNAcentral is "bacterial SSU rRNA". It matches the Rfam family "Bacterial small subunit ribosomal RNA", at positions 362 to 776 of the family's 1533-position model. The record is from RNAcentral.